RNAcentral lists this ribosomal RNA (37 nucleotides) under Saccharomyces cerevisiae (brewer's yeast). RNAcentral describes it as "partial 28S ribosomal RNA". Lineage: Eukaryota; Fungi; Ascomycota; Saccharomycetes; Saccharomycetales; Saccharomycetaceae. The record is from RNAcentral.
UGACCUCAAAUCAGGUAGGAGUACCCGCUGAACUUAA